UAAGGAAGAAAGUAUACGUCCGUACUAGAGUCCGCUUAGAAAUGCUAUCUACCAUGGUUAGAUAUCCACCUUAAGUAUAAGAGUAUUCACCCAAAUGCUUUUUGUGUAAAUAUUGAUGUAUUAGUUUACGUGUAUUGUGUUAUAGGCCAAUUUCACCCGGGCCCAAGACCAAAUACAAAUAAUAAAGAAAACAAAAAAAAGCCCAAAUAUCUAUUCCAUUUACAAAAAAAAACAGCAGACCGAAAUACAAGCCCAAAAAAAUAAAAACCCUAAUAGCCCAAUCAGCCCAAAACCUAAACACCUAACAGAAACCCUAGCCCCUAACCCAAGCAGCGCUGCACCCUACCCUAAGCCUUACCGUCGCCGCACGCCACCUCUUCCGCAUGCUCUAACAUCUCUGUCACCUGCAAAGAACAAGAAACAUGCAAGAAAGAAGAGGACAACAAAGAAGAAAACAAAAGAAUGGCAGCAGACAAGAAACAAAAAGACAAAAAACGAAUCUAGCACCUCGGUUAUAAAAGAGGCCCUAUGAGACAUGUACUUUUUUUACGAACAUUAAUUAAAAAAGGAAACAAAAUACCGAUUUCAAAGGUGAAAUUUUUAUUUUCUUAUUGGUUAUCUUUUAUUUUUUUUAUUUUCUUUUUUUUUUGCAUACUAAAUAAUAAAAAU
Molecule: long non-coding RNA, 669 nt
Filed under: Gossypium raimondii (Peruvian cotton)
Lineage: Eukaryota; Viridiplantae; Streptophyta; Magnoliopsida; Malvales; Malvaceae
Description: long non-coding RNA (GRAI_LNC009396)
Source: RNAcentral